Molecule: long non-coding RNA, 1072 nt
Filed under: Bos grunniens (domestic yak)
Lineage: Eukaryota; Metazoa; Chordata; Mammalia; Artiodactyla; Bovidae
Description: lncRNA (ENSBGRG00000019534.1)
Source: RNAcentral
AACCUUGGCAACAGUAGUAUCUGACAUCAUGAUGACUGCAAAAACUUGUCCAGAGUGUGGGAACUUGUUAGGCAGCAACUGAUGCCACAAAUGCCCUUUUCCAUAUUCCUUCAAACAGGGGUGAUUCAGAUCAGUUCAUCCUUGUGUGGAAUGAUAACAACUCACCAUUCACACCCUUCCACAAUGCUACUUGAAUUUCCUAUUUGUCAGCAAUGCAUCACCUGGAAAAUCUCCCACUACUAGAGGAGGGGCUUGUCUUUCUACUCUGCUGAUAAUAUCAUUCUACUGAGUCCACAGAAGAGAGCUACCCAGCAAGGACUGAACAUCCUGCUAAUACACAAGUGGCAACUUGCUGGGCCAUUUUUACAGAAAGCAUACAAGCACCCAAGUGAAGUUUCUGGGCAUGAUCAGGAUAUGCUGUCUCAUUGUCUCAUUCCAUGGGAGAAGACUGCUUCUGACCCUCGCCACUCCAACAAUUAAAAAGGAGGUCCAUGGACUGAUGGAACUCUUCACCUGCCUGCAUUCUUAAUGCCAACCAUUUACAGGGUUACAUAAAAGGUCGUUUCCUUUCAAUGGGGCCACAGCCAAGAGGAUGACCUGGAAGCCCUUCAACAAGCCCCAGGCUACCCCUUUUUGCUGUCUCUGAUCCAUUUUGCCUUCGAGUUAACAGAUAUCAGCAACCUCUCUAUUCACCAAUUGGAGUUUAGGCAGAAGGACACUGCCAGAGGCAUCAGUUGGAGUUUUAAUUCAUCAUCUCUAGGAAUAUCUGGCUGAAAGGUACACAGCCUUUAAGAGAAAAUUAUUAGUCCAUUAUUGGGCUUUAGUGCAUACUGAGCACAUGACCCAUGACUGUGAAAUAAGUCUCAAGAAAAGAAAUUCCAACCAAAAGUUAUCAAUAGUUUUGCUUUUGCUCUCUAUUUAAGGGCAUUUCCACUUUGCUACUAAGUCACUUCAGUUGUGUCCGACUCUGUGCGACCCCAUAGACAGCAGCCCACCAGGCUCCCCAUCCCUGGCAUUCUCCAGGCAAGAACAGUGGAGUGGUUUGCCAUUUCCUUCUCAAUGCAUGAAAAUG